This 209-nucleotide long non-coding RNA is filed under the name Elaeis guineensis (African oil palm). Its description in RNAcentral is "long non-coding RNA (EGUI_LNC024819)". Lineage: Eukaryota; Viridiplantae; Streptophyta; Magnoliopsida; Arecales; Arecaceae. The record is from RNAcentral.
AGGUGCCAACUGCCUAACAAUUUUUUUUAUAAAAAGAAAAGGGUAGGAAAAAAAGGGGAUCUCUGAACUCGACUCUGAUUUUCACUAUUUUCUACGGUUCUCCUUUUCCAACUGUCACUGACUUAACCAUCAAAGGAUCUCCCAUUGAAGAACCCCCAUCUCUUUCUCUGAGUAUGGACUUUCUUUAUAGAUGAUCAGAGUCCUAACCC